RNAcentral lists this small RNA (388 nucleotides) under Citrobacter gillenii. Its description in RNAcentral is "Enterobacterial sRNA STnc550". It matches the Rfam family "Enterobacterial sRNA STnc550". Lineage: Bacteria; Pseudomonadati; Pseudomonadota; Gammaproteobacteria; Enterobacterales; Enterobacteriaceae. The record is from RNAcentral.
UACAUCUCACUCCAGACCAUAUCCUAAGUUCCUGAGAAUACUCCAGGUAACCGUUUGCCUUCACACACCCUUCGCGCAACAUCAGGGUUGCGGUACGCCAGGAAAACGACACGGAACGUCAGGAAGGGGUCAAUGGCCGGUACGCUAAUCAAGUAAGCGUGGAAUUUUGUCUGAUCUUUACGAAAAGGGGAAGAGUUAAAAGCAUUUAUCAAUAUAAAUCGUGAGAGAUUUUUACCUUCAAGUGUGCAAAAAUGCGCAAUAUCACUUUUUGUGUGGGAAUAAAAAGGAGAAAACUUGAUGAGCACCGAUCUGAAAUUUUCGUUAGUCACCACCAUUAUUGUUCUGGGUUUGAUUGUUGCCAGUGGUUUAACCGCCGCGCUGCAUUGAU